This 73-nucleotide transfer RNA is filed under the name Chloroflexota bacterium. RNAcentral describes it as "tRNA-Met". It matches the Rfam family "tRNA". Rfam says of the family: Transfer RNA (tRNA) molecules are approximately 80 nucleotides in length. Their secondary structure includes four short double-helical elements and three loops (D, anti-codon, and T loops). The record is from RNAcentral. Lineage: Bacteria; Bacillati; Chloroflexota.
CGCGCCCUGGAGAAGAGGCUAUCUCGCCGCGCUCAUAACGCGGAGAUCGCGGGUUCGAGUCCCGCGGGCGCUA